CCUGCCGAUGACUCGGGAUAGCCUUUCGAAGAAAGAUUAAUACCCGAUGGCAUAGUUCUUCCGCAUGGUAGAACUAUUAAAGAAUUUCGGUCAUCGAUGGGAUGCGUUCCAUUAGGUUGUUGCGGGGUAACGGCCCACCAAGCCUUCGAUGGAUAGGGUUCUGAGAGGAAGGUCCCCCACAUUGGAACUGAGACACGGUCCAAACUCCUACGGGAGGCAGCAUG
Molecule: ribosomal RNA, 224 nt
Filed under: uncultured bacterium
Lineage: Bacteria
Description: partial 16S ribosomal RNA
Rfam family: Bacterial small subunit ribosomal RNA
Source: RNAcentral